UUUACUUUGUCUUUAGCAAUCAAUGCAGAAUGUCAACACUCUUUGCUGUCAUUCAUCAGCUAUAGGAUUUAUUGAUGACUGAUACUUAGCUUUCUAUUGUAUAACUAGUAUUUGUUGUUCUUCAUUGUGUAACUUAAAUCUUUCCUGUUUCCAGAACUUUGACAACAUCAAUCUUGAUGGAGAUCACAAUGCUGAAAAUAAAAAGGAUGAUACCUUUGAUGGUUUAGAAGACCUUAGUCCAUAUCAUCACGUUGAUGACUUUUCUUUCAUUAACUCUGAUGCAAAUAUAUUUCAUCCAUUUGAACCAUUUAUGGAGCUGUACGAUAUUGCUGCUCCAUUGACUUCAAUUGAUGGUCUUGGUCUAUCUGGACACAAUAAUUCAGAGGGAUUUGAUCAUAUUAUUGCUGCUCAGGGUCCCUGGACUUCAGUAUCUGCAGAUGAUGAAAAUUGUCAUGGGAUGGGGGUGAAAGAUCUUGUGACUGCAGUAAAUUGUGAUAGUGAGGCUGGUCAAUCCAAUGAAGUAUUUUGAUUCCUCAUAUUUUAAUCUGGGUGGUAACAAUGGUUUAGUUUGUUCUGGCAUCAUCUCCAAUCCUCCUAUUUUUGCUCAGCCAUUCCAUGGUUCAGAUGUAACAUGCAAUGCUGAGGAUUUCCCUCAGUUUAAAUGGCACCCUCAGUUGGAGGGGUUUGAGGGCUGUGUGGAUAUGCACCGGGAGGGUUAUGGUGUUGAAUGCACAAAUCAAGAGAUUGUAAGAUAUGAUGUUGUUGCAGCAAAUUCUUCUAUCAAUAAUCCUGAUCUGGGAUGUACAUGCUUGUGAAAACCAAGGAAGAGGUAGAUCUCAAUUCUGGUGACUGAUGGUUCCACACUCUUUUGGCUGAACUGCUUUUCUAUGCUAAUAAUCUUUGAAAUGGCAGAACAUAUGGAAUAUUCUGAUUGAUGGACAUCUUAGUGCAUUCUUCAUCUAUGUUUGUGGUUCUUGUGGUGACCCAAGCAACAAAUGCUCGGAGUGUCCGAGCGUUGUUUAUUGUGUUGCCAUGAUGCAGGUUUCUUGAACUCCGUCAUUUUUGGAGUCUGGGAGAAACUAAGUCCUUACUAUUUAUUGUUUAUUGUUUGUCGUAUUUUGGUUCCAGGGGAAGAGACAAUUUUCUGUUGUAUGGUUCGAUUCUUGGAGUAUCCCGCACAUCCGAGUUCUGCCGUAGAGCGCCCUGCUCCAUGUAUUGGAGCGAAGAGAUCUGAUGGGCAUGCUCUCUUUCUUCUCUAUGGAUACUCCUCCUUCCAUAUCAAGGCCGAGGUGACUCUUGGAGGAGGGGGACGUGGGUGCACUAACGACGCCUUAUCACACGGGUUGGAGGGGUUUCCGUUUGUUACUGAUCGCGAGGAGAAUGGAAGUGGAUCAGGAAAAGGAGCGGCUAACUACGGAUGUGGGAUCUCGUCAACACUAUUCCUGUUGACUCUCCGGUUACCAUGCUGUCCUCCUCCCUGGGGGGACGUGUAUUAUUGGAGACUUACUUCUUGGUUAUCGUUUCUUGCUGCGGCGUGGCUGAUUGUACAUAUUUCUGUUUGGUGUGCCUGCAUUGAACUAUCGGUUUCUUCUAUGUUUCUGCUUGUGUUGCAUGCGUUUUCCUCGCCCUUUGCAAUUCCCAGUAUUUCAGCUCCCCAUGUCAUGCGCAAUUUAUUAAUUACACCAAUAUCAUUAGUUUCUGAAGUCGGGUCAUUGUUUAGGUUUCAGUUGAUCUCCACCAAUUCGAGUGUUUAGAGGUGAAUUCCAGCGUAGGAGGAAGAUCAGGAUGAGAAUGUGCAGAGUUCUAAACUAUAAACGAUCCGAAGACCCUUUCCCCUUGGGAAACUGCCUCAGCUUAAGUAGUAAUCUUUAUGGUUUGAGGUUCUACUCUCUCGAUUUCCCAUUGUGUGUAAGUCUAAACUGUGGCCCCCAUUUGCUUAAAAUUUGACGUUGAUUCUUGAUUAUGAUCUUACCAUGAACGGAUCACUACGCAAAUUUGGCAAAAGGCUAGUGUGAAAUAGUGCUUUAUUGUAUAUUAAUAAGAUUUGAGACGAAUCUUCUUAUAUGGGUCCAUGUUGUUUGUAAGUACUAAUGGUUAAUUAGAGUGGACCUGUCUUAGCAA
Long non-coding RNA from Eucalyptus grandis, 2121 nucleotides. RefSeq lists it as uncharacterized. Lineage: Eukaryota; Viridiplantae; Streptophyta; Magnoliopsida; Myrtales; Myrtaceae. The record is from RefSeq and is a predicted model, not a curated record. The transcript has 2 exons.